Molecule: ribosomal RNA, 480 nt
Filed under: uncultured bacterium
Lineage: Bacteria
Description: bacterial SSU rRNA
Rfam family: Bacterial small subunit ribosomal RNA
Source: RNAcentral
UUGAACGCUGGCGGCAUGCCUUACACAUGCAAGUCGAACGGUAACGCGGGGCAACCUGGCGACGAGUGGCGAACGGGUGAGUAAUACAUCGGAACGUGCCCAGUAGUGGGGGAUAGCCCGGCGAAAGCCGGAUUAAUACCGCAUACGACCUAAGGGUGAAAGCAGGGGACCGCAAGGCCUUGCGCUAUUGGAGCGGCCGAUGUCAGAUUAGCUAGUUGGUGGGGUAAAAGCCUACCAAGGCGACGAUCUGUAGCUGGUCUGAGAGGACGACCAGCCACACUGGGACUGAGACACGGCCCAGACUCCUACGGGAGGCAGCAGUGGGGAAUUUUGGACAAUGGGCGCAAGCCUGAUCCAGCAAUGCCGCGUGCAGGAAGAAGGCCUUCGGGUUGUAAACUGCUUUUGUACGGAGCGAAAAGGCUCUCUCUAAUACAGGGGGCUCAUGACGGUACCGUAAGAAUAAGCACCGGCUAACUACGU